AGAAAGAGAGAAGAGAGAGAUAAAGGAAAGAUAGAGGGUGGUGGAGGAAGGUUAGGGGGGAUGGGUGGGAAGGGGUCAAGAGGGUCGGGUGGGAAGGGGUUUUAGGGAUGCAGAGAAGAGAGAGAGGCGAGAAAGACGGGGAGAGAGAGAUUUAAUAUAAAAAAAUUUUAAUUUUUUAAUUUUUAAUUAUUAAAAAUAUAUUUAAUAAUUUUUUAAUCCAGUUGGAUUAGUGAUUAGGUCCCGCAUGUGGCCACGUCAGAGAAAUUAACAAAAAAACUGACGAAGGUAUGACAUUGGCACAAAUUCGUAAGAUGAGGUAUGACAUUGUCAUUUUAAAAAUAUGAGGUAUAAAAGUAUCGUGAGACCAAUAGUUGAGGUAAUUUUGUGUAAUUUACCCUAAGUUUUUUUAGUAGUUUAUAAAAUUAAAAUCAACAAAAUAACAUUUUUCUUAUCAUGUCGAAACAAGUUACCCGCAUGUCACUCUCGUGUAAACCUGUUAAGGACCUGUUAUUAACGAGUUCUUAUUGUAUGACCCAAUUAGUUAUUGUGUUGAUCCGAAACCCAUUAUUUUCGUUUCGUGUCGUGUUAACGGGUCGUGUAAGAAAUUGCCAGAUCUAGCUAAAGUCAUAGGACAAAUGAGAGUAGAUUCUAAUGCCUUUAUUUAUAAAGAGUAAUGUUCGGGAGAUUAAAUUGAUAGACAAAAUUUGCAUAUUAAAUAAUGUGUCAUCAAUAGGAAAUAAGCACGUUUAUCAAGGCUUAAGUAAUAAUCAAAUAAUCAGCUUCCAUGUCAUUUAAUUUACAAAUUUUGUCCCUCCACUUGUAUAAAAACACAUGACGUAUGUGCUCGUGUUUCAGUCACAUAGUGAAUUUUGAUGAGCUAAUGAUGAGCCAUGGCUUACAAAUUGUUUAAACUGUUCACAUAAUAUUUAGUUGGUAACGUAAUAGAUCAGCUCUUGAAGGUCUUAUAAAUAAUCAAUUUUUUGUUUAUUUUGAAGCACUACUUUCCAAAAUAUCGUUCAAACAGAAUGUUAUGUUCAUAGAAAUAUAUAAAGUAUACAAAUCAAUUGUAAACCCUAAUAUGUUAAAAGUAUACCUAGUUUUUCCUUUAAUGGUCGAAUCCAUACACUGGACAAUUAGAAUGUUCACAGCAUUCCACCGCACUUCCUAUGUUUAAAUUACUCUUAAGAUAUAAGUCGUGGAUUGCCUUACGAUUAUGACCUCUUUUUUCAGUUCUUGCGCUGGUAUGUGUAUCAUGAAUAUGAAAAAAUUACUAAUAAGCAGAAAUAUUUUUGUUACAUAAAAUUUCUAAUAAGCAGAAAUAGUUUUGUUAAAUCGGCUUGUACAAAAAGUGUAUACAGUAAACCGUGAGGUUUGCCAGAAUAAUUAUAAAAUAUAAAAAAACAUGAUAUUCGAUAACUAAAGUUUUCCAUAAGUUAUAAAUUAGGGCAAAAGACUGUUUACUACCCUCAUAUUUUGUGGUUUUCAAUAUUUAGUACAUCAAGUUUUUUUCGUCCCAGAAUCAUACCUAAAGUGUAAAUUUUGGAACAAUCUCGUACAUCUGUUAGUCAGACUAUUAAGUCUCCCGUUAACUAUGAUGUGGCGCUCAUGUGGACAAUGAAUGG
Molecule: long non-coding RNA, 1622 nt
Filed under: Malus domestica (apple)
Lineage: Eukaryota; Viridiplantae; Streptophyta; Magnoliopsida; Rosales; Rosaceae
Description: long non-coding RNA (MDOM_LNC016960)
Source: RNAcentral